This 1020-nucleotide ribosomal RNA is filed under the name Levilactobacillus parabrevis. Its description in RNAcentral is "bacterial SSU rRNA". It matches the Rfam family "Bacterial small subunit ribosomal RNA", at positions 1 to 980 of the family's 1533-position model. Lineage: Bacteria; Bacillati; Bacillota; Bacilli; Lactobacillales; Lactobacillaceae. The record is from RNAcentral.
CGGGAAUUCGAUUGAGUUUGAUCCUGGCUCAGGACGAACGCUGGCGGCAUGCCUAAUACAUGCAAGUCGAACGAGCUUCCGUUGAUUGAAGUGCUUGCACUGAUUUCAACACUGAAGCGAGUGGCGAACUGGUGAGUAACACGUGGGUAACUUGCCCAGAAGCAGGGGAUAACACUUGGAAACAGGUGCUAAUACCGUAUAACAACAGAAACCGCAUGGUUUCUGUNUGAAAGAUGGUUUCGGCUAUCACUUCUGGAUGGACCCGCGGCGUAUUAGUUAGUUGGUGAGGUAAAGGCCCACCAAGACAAUGAUACGUAGCCGACCUGAGAGGGUAAUCGGCCACAUUGGGACUGAGACACGGCCCAAACUCCUACGGGAGGCAGCAGUAGGGAAUCUUCCACAAUGGACGAAAGUCUGAUGGAGCAAUGCCGCGUGAGUUAAGAAGGGUUUCGGCUCGUAAAACUCUGUUGUUAAAGAAGAACACUCUUGAGAGUAACUGUUCAGGAGUUGACGGUAUUUAACCAGAAAGCCACGGCUAACUACGUGCCAGCAGCCGCGGUAAUACGUAGGUGGCAAGCGUUGUCCGGAUUUAUUGGGCGUAAAGCGAGCGCAGGCGGUUUUUUAAGUCUGAUGUGAAAGCCUUCGGCUUAACCGGAGAAGUGCAUCGGAAACUGGGAGACUUGAGUGCAGAAGAGGACAGUGGAACUCCAUGUGUAGCGGUGGAAUGCGUAGAUAUAUGGAAGAACACCAGUGGCGAAGGCGGCUGUCUAGUCUGUAACUGACGCUGAGGCUCGAAAGCAUGGGUAGCAAACAGGAUUAGAUACCCUGGUAGUCCAUGCCGUAAACGAUGAGUGCUAGGUGUUGGAGGGUUUCCGCCCUUCAGUGCCGCAGCUAACGCAUUAAGCACUCCGCCUGGGGAGUACGACCGCAAGGUUGAAACUCAAAGGAAUUGACAGGGGCCCGCACAAGCGGUGGAGCAUGUGGUUUAAUUCGAAGCUACGCGAAGAACCUUACCAGGUC